Chelonia mydas (Green sea turtle) is the source of this 1134-nucleotide long non-coding RNA. RefSeq lists it as uncharacterized. The record is from RefSeq and is a predicted model, not a curated record. The transcript is spliced from 2 exons. NCBI's taxonomy places the organism in Eukaryota, Metazoa, Chordata, Testudines, Cheloniidae.
UGGUCAUUCCAGGUGUUUGAUAAAAUGCACAGGCUGUGCAAAUACAAGGACACGCAGGUUAAUCGUGCUGCACACGCAAACACUCCUGUUCACUAAUCCGAGCAGCAAGUAGUGACUCUGCUGUGAGAGAAUCAGGGUGAAAAUCAUCCUAGUCUGAUGAGAUUAUUUGUUAGCAGAAGAAGAGGUGAGAGUAAAGCAGUCUCAAUCUUUCUCUCCUCUUUGGGCAAGGGGAGCUCUAUGGCUUGGCAUGUCGGUUUGAGGUAAUGUUUACUAAGUGUGCUAAUUACGCUUUUUGGCAUUUACUUGAGCCUGUAUGAAAACCCAGAGACAGAAUGGGAAGCCCUGGCUUCAGUGACUAUGUUAUUGCCUAUAUUUUCCAACCAAAGAGGUUGCUCCUUUCGCUGAAGUGGUUGGAGUUGGGACUAAGGCUUUUAGUGCUGGAGGUCUGAAAUAUAAUACCUGCUGAUCCCCGUGGUGUCUGCAUGUGUGUGUGACUCUAAUUCAGGACAAUAGCAUGUACCUGCUGAGAAGAGAGAGAGAGAUAUGUGGUAACAUUUCCCAAUCAGUAGAAACUGCCAGUUUGGGGCAUGUAGGAAAUUUUAUACUGAUAUGUGUGAUCUAUGGGACAUGAUUCCAGAAGCAACUGGGAAUACCUGAGCUCAGAGAGACACAACACCGAACUAUUGCAUUCAGUGAAUCAAAGCCACCUUGGUGUAAUUGGUGCCCUGGGGAUUAAUUUGUCCCAAUCUUUCUUACUGUGUUAUUAAAUGAUGCAAUUUCUACCAGAGUUACAGAGUAUGAGGUUAUGGUAUAUUUCAUCCUGAUGUUUUCAGUGCAAAUUGGGUACUGUGUAGACCUGAUCCACAACCUUUUUUUUUUUUUUUUUUUUUUGGAGACCGAAAUCUUUUUGCUAAAAACUUAAUAUUUCGACUCAGAAAUACCACAGAGGUGCCUCAGAUGCCACACACCACAAAUUUCUUCCAUGAACCAGGCUCCCAGGCUGGACUACAUCCCCCUAUUAUGCAUGAUGGUCUCUCCUCUUGCUGAACUGCCCUGGAACUUCAGCAGAGUCACAUAGCCAUGGUUUAGGGAGUAUGUGAGUUUUUUAUUUUGAUGGAAAGCUGAUAAUUUCAG